Molecule: long non-coding RNA, 14172 nt
Filed under: Lactuca sativa (garden lettuce)
Lineage: Eukaryota; Viridiplantae; Streptophyta; Magnoliopsida; Asterales; Asteraceae
Description: long non-coding RNA (LSAT_LNC009452)
Source: RNAcentral
AUUGGUGGCAUUUAGUACCUAUUUCCUAAUUUGUGAGCCAUUGACUUUUGACUACAUUAGCAAGGUUGGUCUUCUCAUUGUACUCGUGGGUUGAAGGCACCAAUGUCGGCCCACUAGAUUGUGCUACUGUCUUUUUGACUCUUGCAUGUUAUGUAGGGCAGGGCCCAUUUAUACACUUGGAUGGGCCCAUUAUUAUAUAUGUUGGGCUGGACCCAUUUAUAUAUUUUGUGUUAGGUCCAUUAUAUGCGGAGUUGGGCUCAUUUAUAUGAUAGGGUUGGGCCUAUACGAGUUGGGCCCAUUUACUUAUAUGUUGGGUUGGGCCAUUUACAUGGUGUCUAGUAUUUUGGGGAAGCUUACAAAGCUUUGUGCUUACGGUUUUGUGAUUUAACAUUUUGAGGUACUUCCGAAUCGAAAGUGAAGCGUCUGGCGUGAUCGCAUAAGAUCCCCUUAUGUUUUCUGCAUCAAUGAUUUUUGACUAUUUUUGAUAUAUUUGUAUUUUGGUGGUUUUGAGACACUUGAUGUAUCGUUUUGAUAAUUUUAAAAAUGGAAAUUUUUACCACUACUUUUGGGAUGUUACACAAAGUCUUUAACCAAUUCAAGAUAGAAAACUCUAAGAGAGAUAUGUACCAAUGGCAUAUGGAACAAUACUUAGUUCAUAUCAGUGUCCUAGCACUAAGGCUGACCUAGAGAAGAUGAAAGAUGUUCGAUAUGCUUUGACUAUUGGAUCCAUCAUGUAUGCCAUGAAUUGUACAAGGUCUGAUCUUGCUUGUGUUGGAUUAAGGUGUCUAAACCAAUAGCUAAAUUGGUAUAUUCUUGUAAUUAGAAGCAAAGUCCUUUUUGGGUUGCCCUCAUGACCAGAAAUAGCUAGAAUUGAUAUUAGGAGAGAGAAGUAUAAUUUAUUAGAUUAUUAUAUGAUUAAUAAAUUAACGUGAAAUCAGUUAGAAUUUAUUACUUAUUAAUCAGAAUUAAUUAGGAAUUAAUUCAAGAUUAAUUGGAAUUAGUUAAAGGUGCAAGGGGUGAGUUGUAAUUGUUCAAUAGUUGAACAAAAGAAGUAAUUCUAGAACCAGCCAUGGUAUGGACGGUUUUGGAGGGUGUCCUAGGCUGUCUGGAAUCCUCCUGUCGCAUGAAAGGAAAUUAUUUGAAUUAGGAUUAAAUCUAUUAUUUAAUGAAUUCAAAUCUUGUUUUUUCUACAAGUUAGCUAAACUAUAAAUAGGGCCCCUUGUGUCAUACCCCCGAACCAGACGGCGGAAACGUCCGGGGGCUGUCGUGACUCAAUUGAAUAUCAUCACAAUGAAUAUACAUGAAACAUAACAUCAUACAUUACCAAGCAUUGGAAUAUUACAACUAGUAGCGUUUACAUUCAGUACAUUGAUCCAUAAUAUUACAUGCCCAAAAGUAAAUUGUUUGAUACUAAUUAGAACAACAGCAAGACCUUACUGAGUACAUUUUUCCUUUUUCGAUUUACCUGUUACCUGAGAAUACAAGUAUUUUGAAAAACGUCAACAUAUGAAAUGUUGGUGAGUUCAUAAGUAAUGUUUGAAAUAUAGUGGUUUGUAUUGUUUUGAAAAUCACCAGAAAAUCUGAUACUUUCUGAAAAGAGCAUAGUAUAAAAAGGGUGAAGAUCCGUAAGUAUGCUUGUUUGUUUUCUAUAUAUGUAAAAGUACAAUUUGUAAAACUCGGUAUGUAACUCGCAGGUGUAUUAAUUGAAAACCCUAGGAAAACCCGAUGUUUUCCUAAUACUUUGCAUCAAAUGUUUUAUGUCUUGUUAUUUCGUUACGACAGGUGUAUUCGUUGAGUCCCGGUGACGUUGGAUUAAUUAUGGAUUGUGAAUUGUUAUAAACACACAUUAAUGAAAAUGACUAGUUUACAACUAUACAAACGAUCCCUUAGGCGUCGUUCGCACUAUUCACUUAAUCCAAUCACCCGGACUUCUCAUAGCCCCACAACCGAGGAGGAAAAGAGGGUGCGAAGCCCCCGAUAUUUUCCAUAAGUCGUUCAAGGCUAUCGUGAAUGCGAAGGGCCCUUAGCCCGACUCGCAUUUGGUGAAUUCUCGACUUUACUAGCAGCACCAGAGGACCCUUGGGGUCCAACAGCACAAAGCCUGUAAAAGUCCUUUUACACGGAAUUAGGUCAUAUAAGACCCAACUACAUGUAAGCGAGUUUCCUUCGGGCCUAAAGAUCAUGUCAUUGGGCUAGCUAGGCCCAACAAACACGAUUUGAAACUUUCGGGCCCAAAGACGGUGUAUCGACGUCUGGUGUAUUCCCACGUGUGUAUUGACUUCCCGAAAUUUCCGCGUGUGUAUUGAAGUUUCGUCGUGUUAGUAAUUUCGGAUUCAUUAUUGAUUCGAGACCGAAUCAAUUCGUUUGAUAACGAUUUUUGGUGUUGAAGGUGUAUUAUAAUUCGCCGAUAGUCGAGGUGCUAGUAUUUCAUCAUGUCGGAUUUAUUGUUUAAAACAUUAGGAUAUUUCAUUAUUGCAGCCCCUUUCUUUUGGAUAAUUUACACUUUUAACCCUUUGUAUAAAAAAAAUUUCUAUUUUAGUCCUCAAACCAUUUUUCUUGACACUUUAGUAUCAAAACUUGUAGAAAAGUUAUUUUUCAGCUCAAAGUUAUUUGAAAAACAGUUUUAGUCCAUCAAAUGAAAUUUUUCUCGGCUGAAACCCUUAUUUUCGCAAUUUUUACACUUUUGGCCCAAAGUAGAAAAUUUUUGCAUCUUUGGUCCCUUUUAAAUAUGAAAAGCAUUUUUAACCCUUGAAAUGGACUUGGAGCACUAGUAGUCCCCUGUUUUACAGAAAAAUACAGUUUCAGCCCCUCUAAUUUGAAAAUCUCGCAAAUUGGGCUUUAUUGGGCCGAAAAAUUCAUUUUUGGCCCAUUAUGCUUAAAAAUUUCACAUUUAAUCCUUCAAAGAGAAUAUUUCCAGAAAAAUACAUUAUUGAAACUGUUUUGACUCAUUUCAUCCAUCAGAAUUUGUAUUUUGUCAUUUUGGGCCCUUUAACCUUAUAUUUUUAACAUUUUGAGUCCAAAAAUGGGAUUUUUAGCCCAAGGAGUUCAUAUUAACCAACUUGGUUAUUUUUCUAGAAAUGAUUUGUGUGUAAUAAUAUGUUUAACACUUGUUUCAUACAUCCUAAUGCAAAUCUCGAUUUUAAGGACUUUUUGACUAGUUUCAACACCAUAAUCACAUAAGAACAUGUAAACAAACAUAGAAAUCAUACAAAGCAUACAUAUACUCAUAGAUCUACACAUUUGCUUGUAUUCCCCCCCCCCACAAAACUUAUAAAAACCGAAAAAUAGGGGGUAUGAAGCUCACCUUUGGGUGUGGUUUCGGUUUUGGAGAAGAGAUGGAAAGAAAUGAGGUGAUUUUCGGCCCUAGCAACCUUUCCUUGAAGAUCUCGAGUUUAGGAGCUUCUAAGGUGCAAGAUCACAAGAUUGAAUGAAUUUAGAAGAGAUUUUUAUGAAGUGAAGGGAGUUAGAUCAUAAGUUAGCCAUUAACUUACCUUAGAUGAUGAAUCACUUUAUGAAGAUCCUUAAGCUUCUAGCCAAAUUUUUCAAGAUCUUGGAUGAAGAAGAGUGGAUGAUUCUUGAGUAAUUUAGAGAGAGUUUUGUGAGGUGUGUGUGUUCAUCUCUUGCUCUCGGCCGAAGGAAAAAGAGGGAGAGGGAGAGAGAAGAUUGAUAAGAUAGUGCAUGGAUACUUGGGUUAUUUGCAUGGAUAACCCCCAUGUAAAAAUGAGGUGGCAAGGCCUAAGUCAACUCUUCCCCAUGGAUUGGGCUUGGGCCGAGAUUUGGAAAGGAAGAAGAGAUUUUUGGGCUUUAUUGCCCCUAAGCCCAUAUAAGAGUUAAGUUGAAUGAUUGUUGGUCCUAUAAAAUAUAAGUGUGAUUUUUAUACUUUGUUAGGCUAGUUUUGGUUAAUUAUGGUUCAUAAUGGUUCAUAAUAUUUAAUUUAUUCCAUUCUAGGCCCAAUAUGGCCCAAAAUGUUGAAAUAAAUGAAAGUGGGUCCAAUUAGAGCCCAUUUAAAGGUUCUAAGCCCAUGAUAGUCAAAUUGGAAGCUUAUUGGUCCAUUGAGUCCAAUAAGGAAGUCCUAGUCCAAAAUGGACCUAAACAAGAACUUCUAGGGUUUCCAAUUGCUUGUUGACUAUUUGUAAUACUUGUAUGGUGUAUUUGAUUGAAAAUUUUGAUGUCAUAGAGUAAGCAUCAUACAUGCUCUUAAGUUUUUGAUUCCACAUUUUACUUGAGUGUAAUGAUUACAAGACACAAAAUUUCUAGUUGUGACAUCAUCCCCUUGUUAGAGGGAAUUUCGUCCCGAAAUUCUGUUUUGAAAGCUAGAUUUGAGAAUGCUAGAAUAGGUGAGGGUACUUUUGCUUCAUUUGGUCUUCGCGUUCCCACGUGAAUUCUGGCCCACGCUUCGCGUUCCACCGUACUUUCACGAUCGGGAUGCGACUUUGCUUAGUACGCUUCACCUCCCUGUCCAUGAUUUCAACCGGUUCUUCAACGAACAGGAGAUUCUCGUUGAUUUCGAUCUCGUCAAGGGGAAUGACGAGUGUUUCAUCCGAUAGACACUUCUUUAGAUUAGAGACAUGGAACACGGGGUGUACACUGUUUAGCUCUACGGGUAGUUGCAGUUUAUACGCCACUGGACCUAUUCGGGCGACGAUCUCGAAAGGUCCAAUGUAUCGUGGGUUCAGUUUUCCCCGUUUUCUGAAAUGAAUAACUCCUUUCCAGGGUGAGACUUUCAACAGUACUCGAUCCCCGACCUGAAAUUCUAAGGGCUUUCGCCGUUUAUCGGCGUAGCUCUUUUGUCGGUCGCGCGAUGCUUGUAAUCGAGCUCUGAUUUGAACGAUCUUUUCCGUGGUUUCACGAAUGAUCUCCGGUCCUGUUAGCGCCUUGUCCGACGUAUGUACUUUUGCUAGUUGGGUAUCACCCACCUCAGUCCAACAUAACGGUGAUCUACACUUACGCCCCUAUAGUGCUUCGAAAGGAGCGACCUUGAUGCUCGAAUGGUAACUGUUGUUAUAUGAGAAUUCGACUAAGGGUAAGUGGGUAUCCCUAGACUUCCCAAAGUCGAUUACACAUGCGCGGAGCAUGUCUUCGAGCGUUUGAAUGGUUCCUUCACUUUGACCAUCCAUUUGUGGAUGAUAGGCGGUGCUCAUGUCGAGAUGAGUUCCCAGUGCUUUCUGGAGUGAUUGCCAAAAACGUGAAGUGAACCUACUAUCCCUAUCCGAGAUAAUAGACACUGGUACUCCGUGGAGUCUCACGAUUUCUCGAAUGUAUAUACGUGUCAAUCUAUCCAUCUUAUAGGAUUUUUUUAUUGGCAGGAAAUGGGCAGAUUUCGUCAGUCGGUCGACUAUUACCCAUAUGGUGUCUAGUCCAUCCGACGUCUUGGGUAGCUUGGUCAUGAAAUCCAUAGAAAUCCCCUCCCAUUUCCACUCAGGGAUUACCGGUUGCUGUAAUAACCCUGAGGGCUUCUGGUACUCCACCUUUACCUUGGCACACGUAAGGCACUUACUAACAUAGGUGGCAAUUUCCGCCUUCAUGUUAGGCCACCAAUAGUGUUGUUUAAUAUCCAAAUACAUCUUGUCUGAGCCGGGAUGAAUGGAGUAUCGCGUCUUGUGGGCUUCCUUCAUAACUACCUCCCUAAAUCCUCCGAGUUUAGGGACCCAAAUACGGUUCAUGAAAUAGUAUACUCCAUUCUCCUUUGCCUCUAGGUUCUUCUCCAUUCCGCGCAAUGCUUCGCUUGCUCUAUUUUCCGUCUUCAUGGCCUCUGACUGGGCUACUGCAAUUUGAGUGGCUAGGUGAGAUUGAAUGGUUAUUGAGAGAGUUUUCGUACGACGAUUAGAGUACUCCUUCCGACUUAAUGCGUCAGCUACCACGUUGGCCUUGCCUGGGUGGUACUUGAUCUCACACUCAUAAUCGUUUAGUAAUUCAACCCAUCUUCGUUGCCUCAUGUUCAACUCCUUCUGGUUCAAGAUGUGCUGGAGACUCUUGUGGUCCGUGAAGAUGGUGCACUUCGUACCGUAAAGGUAAUGCCUCCAAAUUUUUAGGGCAAAGACCACGGCUCCCAAUUCUAGGUCAUGGGUCGUAUAAUUCACUUCGUGCGUCUUUAGUUGGCGGGAUGCGUAAGCUAUCACCCUUCCACGCUGCAUGAGACCACGAAAUCUUCCGUUCCCUCCGGUAGUGAUAGUACCGGGGCACUACAGAGAGCUUGUUUCAGGGUUCGGAAUGCGACUUCUUGUUUGUCCGUCCAUUUGAAUGGUACGCCCUUUUGUGUAAGCGAGGUAAGUGGUUUGGCGAUCUUAGAGAAGUUUUGAAUGAAUCUCCUAUAGUAGCCUGCUAGACCCAAGAAUUGACGGAUUUCCGUGGGUGUUGUCGGGAUUGCCCAUCCUUCAACAGCUUUGACCUUAGAGGGAUCCACAUGAAUUCCAUCUUGGCUAACUACAUGACCUAGGAAGUUCACACUCCGGAGCCAGAACUCACACUUGGAGAGUUUUGCGUAUAGCUUUUCCGAUCGCAGAGUUUCUAGGAUUUGUCGGAGAUGUUGGCCAUGCUCUUCUUCGCUUCGGGAAUAGACGAGAAUGUCAUCAAUGAAGACGAUGACAAAGUUGUCGAGGAAUGGUCGACAGAUCCGGUUCAUCAGAUCCAUAAAUGCGGCAGGGGCAUUUGUUAGACCGAAGGGCAUUACGACAAAUUCAUAAUGUCCGUAGCGAGUUCGGAAAGCGGUUUUUGGAAUAUCCUCUUCCCGGACUUUGAGUUGGUGGUAUCCGGACCGUAGAUCUAUCUUAGAAAAAUAACUAGCUCCUUGGAGCUGGUCAAAUAGAUCAUCGAUUCGUGGGAGUGGGUAGCGAUUUUUAACAGUGAGUUUAUUUAACUCUCUGUAAUCGAUGCACAUUCUAAAAGAUCCGUCCUUCUUUUUGACAAAGAGGACUGGAGCUCCCCAUGGCGAGUAACUAGGGCGGAUGAAUCCCUUGUCCAAGAGUUCACUGAGUUGGCUGGACAAUUCCUGCAUUUCAGCAGGAGCUAGCCGAUAGGGUGAUUUAGCGAGAGGAAUUGCUCCUGGAACGAGGUCAAUUCGGAACUCCACUUGUCUCUCUGGGGGUACUCCUGGAAGAUCUUCAGGAAACACGUCUGGGAACUCACAUGCUAUGGGAAUGUCUUGAACGUUAACCUCUUCCUUGGUUUUAUCCACUAUGUGAGCCAGGAACGCCAAAUUGUUCUUUCGUAGAUGUUUCCGUGCCUGGAUGCACGAGAUGAGGCGAAGGUUCGUGCUAGGUUUGUCUCCGUAAAUUACUAGGGUUUCGUGAUUGGGAAGGUGAAGGCGAACGGCCUUCUCGUGACACAUAAUUUCAGCAUGGUGGGGGCUUAACCAGUCCAUGCCAAUAAUCACGUCGAAACUCCUAAUGGACACAGGCAUUAAGUCUAUUCGAAAGACAUGUUGGUUUAGGGUUAGGGUACAUCCGAGGUAGAUUUACCCGGUGGAUUCGGUUUUCCCAUUGGCCAUUUCCACCGUAAAGGUUCCAUCGAGCUUCUGGGGUUGUUGUUUUAAUAAAUGCUUAAAUCUAUUGCUUACGAAACUUCGCUCUGCUCCGGUGUCAAAUAGGAUGCAUGCAUAAGUGUGGUUUAGGAGAAAUGUACCGGUAACAACAGUGGGAUCCUGAAUCGCCUCUCCCUGACCCACGGUCAGCAUCCUUCCUGUUCCUCCGUUUCCGGGAUUGUUGUUGUUAGGGCAAUCUCGGCGGAAAUGCCCAGUCCUCCCACACCCAUAGCAGGUGUGGCUAGGCCCUGCAUUGUUGCCGCCGGUGGUGAUGUUGUUGUUGUUGCGAUUGUUGUUAUUGUUGCUAUUUCCUUGUUGUUGGUUCUGGGGACGGUAGGUCGUGCAGUACCUUGCCGUGUGUCCCCUUCGAUUACAACUGGUGCACUGCAACUCCUUGCAUUCUCCAUUGUGAUGGAAACCGCACUUGUUGCACUUGGGAAGAUUACCGGAAUAAGGUCUAGGAGCAUUUGAAGCAGCUGAGGCUGGAGCAUGUGGUGUGGCCGGAACUGGUGCGGUGGCAGCAUUAACUGCCACUGUCUGUUGCUUCUUAGAGGUCUCGGGGCCCUGACGCCCCUUCCUCUUGUUGUUCUUCCCUUUCUUGCCAUCACCUUCCUUCUUUCCCUCCGUCUCCACUGGCUUCUCACCCUUUUGGUUGUUAUGGUCAUACAGCUUCUUCGCCAAUCUUUUUGCACUGUCAUAUGUUUCGGGGUUUGUAGCUAUCACAUUUCCUUGGAUUGGUGAUGUCAGUCCCCAGAUGAAUCACUCAAUCUUCCUUCCUUCCGAGGUGAUCAUACCCAGGCAUAAUAAAGAUAGUUCACUAAAUCUCGAUAUGUAGGCAUCGAUAUUCGCAUUCUGCACAGUGAGGUUCCACAGCUCUUGCUCCAUUUUCUGAAUCUCACCUCGUGGGCAGUAUUCAGCCAUCAACAUUUCUUUCAUUUCCGACCACGGCAUGGAGUUGGCUACAGGGAGUGUCAUGGCUUCCACGUGUCCGUUCCACCAAGUGAGCGCUUGAUCAACAAAAGUGCAGGCUGCGAACUUCACUUUCAUCUCCUCAGGACAAUCGCAUAUCUCGAAUACCGAUUCCACCUUCUCGAUCCAUCGCUUCAGAGUGAUCACUCCUUCAGUGCCGUUAAAAGUUCGUGGUUUGGCGUUUUUGAAGUCCUUGUAGGUACAUGUUUUGGUGGGUCCUUGAUNAAAACUUAUAAAAACCGAAAAAUAGGGGGUAUGAAGCUCACCUUUGGGUGUGGUUUCGGUUUUGGAGAAGAGAUGGAAGAAAAUGAGAUGAUUUUCGGCCUAAGCAACCUUUCCUUGGAAGAUCUCGAGUUUAAGGAGUUCUAAGAUACAAGAUUAUGAUUUCAUAUGAGUUAAGAAGAGAUUUUUGGAUAUAAGAAGGCGUCUAAAGUGUGGAUCCAAGCAUUAACUUACCUAGAUGAUAUUUUUGUGAAGAAUCCUCCUUGCAAGGCCCUUGAAUCUCGAAAUUUUGAAGNUCUGUCAUGAAACGGAAAGAUGUUGAGUGUUUUGGGGUUUCUGGGAGGUUGUGACCCUACUGACUAGGUGCAAGGUACGAACUUAAACACUCCUACCAUUUAACAUACAAUCAUAGAUUCUCAACACAUAGCAAUUUGUAAUAUCAUAACAAAGCACGUAAAAGUUUACUAAUAUUAUCCGCAUUUGAUACAUGAAAAAUUUGCUCGUAAGAGCAUACAUGAGUGACACUAGUUGGACAGCAUAACGGCUCUAUGAGUAGUGUAGUCACUUAAACAUAGAGUCGGGGUACAUAGCAUAGUUCCUAAUGACCUACUAAGAUAAGUCUAUCCCUAACCGCGAUGAGCUGCGUCCGGAGGUGGUGCCAAGGAUGUAGAUGCUCCCUGAAGACGGGCCACCAGUCGUUCUGCGUCCUGGAGUCGAGACUCCCACCUUACCAGCCUCAUGUGGAACUCCCGAAGCACGUCACGUGUCUCCUGUUCCGCACGCUCGACCCUAGUCCACAACUGGCGUACCUGAUCAGCAGUGCCCUGAGCAAGAUCGCCAGUGUUCCGUAAUCGUUUCACCAUGACCGGUAGGGGUCGGUCGGCCGGUCCUCCGUCCCUCAGGUCAAAUAACUCGCGCGACAUGCUGAAUGGGGGUCGCUGUCCCUGCUGUCUGCUCCAUCUCCAAAGAUCAAUACCCAGGGAGGGGUAGGGCUAGUGGGGCCCACACGAUAAGCAGGCACCCUGUUCGGGUAAGGGGGGUUGAUGACUUCGGACUCCGCGUCCGAAUCACCCCCUUCACUGUCAUCGGGUUCCUCCUCGAAGUUCCCUUCGUCUUCUUCUGGUUCGGCAGGCUCGCCCUCGUCUCCUGCCUCCGGUUCCCCGUCAGAUUCCUCUUCGGGGUCUUCCUCAAGCUCUUCCUCAGGCUCUUCCUCUAACCAUCCGUUAUUCCCCUGAUUAGGGAAAUAAGGGUCUCCGGGGUGAUGAAAACCAGCCAUGCUGUCUGCGUGAGUAUGUAAAUAUGCUAACAUUAUUCCUAGGAUGCUACAACUAUUGUACAGACUAAGCAGGCGUUCUCUUUUUGGUGAUAAAGGUGUAUAGUUUUAGGUUCCCUAGCUAUCACGAUCUCAUCAGAAUGUGUGUUAGUUAUACUUUGGAGAGAAUGUAGUUGAUCAGGCUACAUCCAAUCCUUGGUACCGCUAAGAACAGUCUUGAAUUAACCGAGAUACUAGCAUUAUCUUCUUUGGUUCUGCGUUAUGUUCCUUAUUCCUAAUACAAGCAAAGGUGUUUUAUUGUUGUAUUUUACUUGUUUUGUUCAGAGUUAUGUUAGUCCCUCUUUUGGGUUUAUAGUUGCAUAUCAAUGUAUGGUUAGAUAUGCUAGUUCACUAUAAACAGAGCUCUGAUACCAACAUAUCACACCCCCGAACCAGACGGCGGAAACGUCCGGGGGCUGUCGUGACUCAAUUGAAUACCAUCACAAUGAAUAUACAUGAAACAUAACAUCAUACAUUACCAAGCAUUGGAAUAUUACAACUAGUAGCGUUUACAUUCAGUACAUUGAUCCAUAAUAUUACAUGCCCAAAAGUAAAUUGCUUGAUACUAAUUAGAACAACAGCAAGACGUUACUGAGUACAUUUUUCCUUUUUCGAUUUACCUGUUACCUGAGAAUACAAGUAUUUUGAAAAACGUCAACAUAUGAAAUGUUGGUGAGUUCAUAAGUAAUGUUUGAAAUAUAGUGGUUUGUAUUGUUUUGAAAAUCACCAGAAAAUCUGAUACUUUCUGAAAAGAGCAUAGUAUAAAAAGUGUGAAGAUCCGUAAGUAUGCUUGUUUGUUUCUAUAAAUGUAAAAGUACAAUUUGUAAAACUCGGUAUGUAACUCGUAGGUGUAUUAAUUGAAAACCCUAGGAAAACCCGAUGUUUUCCUAAUACUUUGCAUCAAAUGAUUUAUAUCUUGUUAUUUCGUUACGACGGGUGUAUUCGUUGAGUCCCGGUGACGUUGGAUUAAUUAUGGAUUGUGAAUUGUUAUAAACACACAUUAAUGAAAAUGACUAGUUUACAACUAUACAAACGAUCCCUUAGGCGUCGUUCGCACUAUUCACUUAAUCCAAUCACCCGGACUUCUCAUAGCCCCACAACCGAGGAGGAAAAGAGGGUGCGAAGCCCCCGAUAUUUUCCAUAAGUCGUUCAAGGCUAUCGUGAAUGCGAAGGGCCCUUAGCCCGACUCGCAUUUGGUGAAUUCUCGACUUUACUAGCAGCACCAGAGGACCCUUGGGGUCCAACAGCACAAAGCCUGUAAAAGUCCUUUUACACGGAAUUAGGUCAUAUAAGACCCAACUACAUGUAAGCGAGUUUCCUUCGGGCCUAAAGAUCAUGUCAUUGGGCUAGCUAGGCCCAACAAGCACGAUUUGAAACUUUCGGGCCCAAAGACGGUGUAUCGACGUCUGGUGUAUUCCCACGUGUGUAUUGACUUCCCGAAAUUUCCGCGUGUGUAUUGAAGUCUCGUCGUGUUAGUAAUUUCGGAUUCAUUAUUGAUUCGAGACCGAAUCAAUUCGUUUGAUAACGAUUUUUGGUGUUGAAGGUGUAUUAUAUUUCGCCGAUAGUCGAGGUACUAGUAUUUCAUCAUGUCGGAUUUAUUGUUUAAAACAUUAGAAUUUUACAUUUUUGCAGCCCCUUUCUUUUGGAUAAAUUUACACUUUUGACCCUUUGUAUAAAAGAAUUUCUAUUUUAGUCCUUAAACCAUUUUUCUUGACACUUUAGUAUCAAAACUUGUAGAAAAGGUAUUUUUCAGCUCAAAGUUAUUUGAAAAACAGUUUUAGUCCCUCAAAUGAAAUUUUUCUCGGCUGAAACCCUUAUUUUCGCAAUUUUUACACUUUUGGCCCAAAAUAGAAAAUUUUUGCAUCUUUGGUCCCUUUUAAAUAUGAAAAGCAUUUUUAACCCUUGAAAUGGACUUGGAGCACUAGUAGUCCCCUGUUUUACAGAAAAAUAUAGUUUCAGCCCCUCUAAUUUGAAAAUCUCGCAAUUUGGGCUUUAUUGGGCCGAAAUAUUCAUUUUUGGCCCAUUAUGCUUAAAAAUUCACAUUUUAAUCCUUCCAAAGAGUAAAUUUCUGGAAAAUCCAUUCUUAAAACUGUUUUGACUCAUCUCAUCCCUCAGAAUUUGUAUUUUGACAUUUUGGGCCCUUUAGUUUCAUAUUUUUAGCAUUUUGAGUCAAAAAAUGGGUUUUAAACCCAAAGAUGUUCAUAAUAAUCAACUUGGUUAUUUUUCUAGACAUGAUUUGUGUGAAAUAACAUAGUUUAUGCUCAUUUCAUGCAACUUAAUGUAGAUCUCGAUCUUAAGGUAUUUUUUUGACUAGAUCUAACACCACAAUCACAUAAGAGCAUAAAUAUAAGCAUAGAAAUCACACCAAGCAUACAUAUACUCAUAGAUCUACACAUUUGCUUGUAUUCUCCCCCACAAAACUUAUAAAAACCGAAAAAUAGGGGGUAUGAAGCUCACCUUUGGGUGUGGUUUCGGUUUUGGAGAAGAGAUGGAAGAAAAUGAGAUGAUUUUCGGCCUAAGCAACCUUUCCUUGGAAGAUCUCGAGUUUAAGGAGUUCUAAGAUACAAGAUUAUGAUUUCAUAUGAGUUAAGAAGAGAUUUUUGGAUAUAAGAAGGCGUCUAAAGUGUGGAUCCAAGCAUUAACUUACCUAGAUGAUAUUUUUGUGAAGAAUCCUCCUUGCAAGGCCCUUGAAUCUCGAAAUUUUGAAGGGAAAGUGAAGGGAUUUGUGAUGUGUUCUUGAGAGUGUUUAGGUGAAUGGUUGUGUGUGUGUGUGUGUGGUACUAACGGCCGAGAACAAAGAGGAGAAGAGAGAGGGAGUUGAAGUGACACUCCUAGAUGCUUGUUGGUCCAUGCAUGGAGGCAUGUGAGGUAUAAGUGAGGUGGCACUCCAUAAGUCAACUCUUCACCCUUGGUUUUGGGCUUUGGGCCGAGAUUUUGAAAGAAAAAGAAGAGUAUUGGGCUUUAAUGCCCCUAAGCCCCUAUUAGAGUUAGGUUUGAUGAUUGUUAGCCCUAUAAAAUAUAAGUGUGAUUUUUAUACUUUGUUGGGCUAGUUUAAGUUAAUUAUGGUUCAUAAUAUUUAAUUCAUUUCAUUCUAGGCCCAAUGUGGCCCAAAAUGUUGGAAUAAAUGAAAGUGGGUCCAAUUAGAGCCCAUUUAAAGGUUCUAAGCCCAUGAUAGCCAAAUUGGAAGCUUAUUGGUCCUUUGAGUCCAAUAAGGAAGUCCUAGUCCAAAGUGGACCUAAACAAGAACUUCUAGGGUUUCCAAUUGCUUGUUGACUAUUUGUAAUACUUGUAUGGUGUAUUUGAUUGAAAAUUUUGAUGUCAUAGAGUAAGCAUCAUACAUGCUCUUAAGUUUUUGAUUCUACAUUUUACUUGAGUGUAAUGAUUACAAGACACAAAAUUUCAAGUUGUGACACCUUGGUUUGUAUAUUUCGUUCAUGGAGUUACCUAAAGGCAAAGGAAUGAAAUUCCCUUCAUAUCUCCUCCCUCCUCCUCAUUAUAGGGAUUCUGGUUUUGGGUAUGAGCCAUUAGAGGCAUCAUCGUUUUGGUUCUUGCUUUCUAAAGAACUUCAAGAGGAUUUGAUUUGAUUAUUUUCUAUAUUAAUCAAAAGGUAUGUAACUCUAAUCUUUAUGUUAAUUUCAGUUUUCAUUGUCCCUCUCUAGGGGUUUUUUUUAUGUUUAUUGGUUAUUGCUAUCAAUAGAGAAAACAUUGAUACUUUCUAGGUUGCAUGUGAACUUAAGGGUGUAAGUGUUUUUCUGCCACUUGAAUUUUUUUUUUAUAACCUAGAAAACUCAUCAGUGGUAUCAGAGCCUAAGUUUUCUAUUUGACUGUGCAUAUAAAUGAACUGAUCAAAAUUAGCGUUUAUGCAAAUGAAGCCUUAAAGCCUAAAAUUUUUAAUGAUUGCUAGGGUUCUUGAAACCCUAGCCUCCACCCUUAUUUUCGAAAGUUGGUAGCAUCCCUUCGACUUUCUUGUUUUCUUAAUUAUAAUUUUAAAUUCCUUAAAACUUGGAUAAUUAAAAACCUUUUAACCCUUACCCCUUAUUUUUGAAAAUUUAAAGGAUUAUUGGGAUAAGGAUUAAAUUUGAAUUCUAUGUUAAUUGUUAAUUGAAGAUAAUUAUUUAAUCCAUAAUGAUUUAAAAUUAUACUAUUAAUU